Molecule: long non-coding RNA, 1609 nt
Filed under: Olea europaea subsp. europaea
Lineage: Eukaryota; Viridiplantae; Streptophyta; Magnoliopsida; Lamiales; Oleaceae
Source: RNAcentral
GUUCCAGAGACCCAAAUAGAGGUAGAAAACAAUGGGAAAAAAAAAUGCAAAGAGCAUUAGAGAAGAAUCGAGAAACAUGAGGAAAAAGAGAGAGAAAAGAGGGGAAGAGAAACAACAAAUAGAAUUGUAAAUAAACAGGGAAAGGAGCAGCAACAUUGAUGUAAACAGGGUCGAAUUAUGCUUCUCGAUUGGGGUUGAUUCUUGACUGCAACAAGGUUACACCAAAUUGUAGUAGCUCAGGUAUAUGGAUUUUGUUUUCAUCAUUAUGGUUAUUGGAAGCAAUUAGACCCAAGAAGCAGGGCAAGCCCUAAGGAAGAAAGGAAAUAGGUUAAUUUGAUUAUGUGAACAAGAAUUUCAUCAGAAAAUAAUUGGAAUUUUACGUGAUGGGCUGUGCUUAAUGAUGCCCAUAUAUAGCUAAAUAAAGGUACUAAGGCAAGAGAUGGGUUAGUUCAACAAAGGUAAGUAGGGUUAUUAUGAAUAUAGGUCCACCAUUGAACAUUAGUAAAGGAGUGGAGAAACAACAUGACAAUAUUUGGCUUAAACUUUGGAGACUUAUUAAGACAUUACUGAUGAAUUCUACAUGAAAGAAAUUUAAUAACUUAUUUUCAAUAAAGAAAUUAUAUGGGCAAGAUUAUGGUGAAUUAUAAUUUAAUUUUUUGGGGCUAGGUUGUUUUGCUUCAUUUUCAAAGUUAAACCAAUGCUUCAAAUUGUGAAGUAUUAUAUGGACAGAAAUUUAUAUACAUUGAAUAGAAACAGGAACGAAUUGAGUUAUGAUUCACUGAGUAAAAUGAGUUAAAGGAGUUUUGAUUAUUGAUUUGACCAAUUGUUAUUAAUUGGUACCUGCAACAAGAGAGAAAAGAAUGGGACUCUGCUUUAAAUUCUUCUUUUACCUUUAAACAAUAGUAAUUAUUUUCAAUUAGAAAGUGACUGCAAUUGGAUAUUUAUUUGGUCCAUUGGUUAGGGGGUUGGAUUAAAUGGUUGCUAAUAUGAAGCAAUGUCACAUUUUUCAGGAAAUAUCGAGGUCAGGACACUUGACGAUCGAAUUAGUCCUGUGAGUGGAAAAACCCUAAAUAUUUUCAAGUAUUGAUAAAUUAAUUAUACCAAUACAUUAUGUGCAUUUAUAUGUUCGAUUACAUGAUUAUUUUGGAAAUAUUCUUUCAUUCUGAUAUUUGUGAAAUUCAAAGAUUAGAUAUAAAAAUAUUUGUGAUUUGCAAUGUGAGACAUGUGAUAUUAAGAUCGAUCAGAAAAGUACUCGUGAUUAUAUAUUUCUUCUAGUUCAUAGAGGGGCCUCGGCCGUAUUCUAUAUCGCACUAAGGGGUCAACUAGGGAUGAAGGGGUCAUGACCAUGUACAUAUAGUUCACUGAGGGGCCUUGGUUGUGUUCUAGAAUUGAUUAUCAGAGGUCUUUGAGAUCCAUUUUCGUUCACGGAGGGGGACAAAGGCCUGUGGCGAAAGUGCUUGGCCCGAUGGGCGGAUUACAGAUUUUAGUCAAAGGGUAGAUUUUUGAUAGAUUUUCUAGUACAUUUGAUGUGAUGAGGUUAUAGCAUGAUUACCAGCUUAUGUUUAUAUCAUGACUUGAGAUGAUAUUUUAUCGCAUUAUAUGAAUGUCU